RNAcentral lists this ribosomal RNA (577 nucleotides) under Phylloporia pendula. RNAcentral's name for it is "SSU rRNA". It matches the Rfam family "Bacterial small subunit ribosomal RNA", at positions 399 to 966 of the family's 1533-position model. The record is from RNAcentral. Lineage: Eukaryota; Fungi; Basidiomycota; Agaricomycetes; Hymenochaetales; Hymenochaetaceae.
UCGAGUAUUAAUUAGAUCACUGGCAUGGUUAGUUGUGUCAUAUAAUCCUGCAGGUAAGGGAAAAUAAUGAUAUUACCUUACUAUUAGUGUCGUCCAAAUGCUCGUGCCAGAAGACUCGGUAAAGCGAGAGACGCAAACGUUAGUCGUCUUGAUCAGGCGUAAAGGGUUUGUAGGCAGCUUUAAGUAUUCAAUUUAAUGUUUACUAUUAUAAUAUUUACAAGUUAUAAUAUUUAUUAGAGGAUCAAUUAAAGCUAGAAUCUAGAAGAGGUGAAUACAAUGCUUGAGCUUAGGAGUACUAACCGCAAACAUCAAGUAGAGUGCUAAGGGCGAAGGCAGUUUUCCAAUAAAGAUUGACGCUGAGAAACGAAGGUGAGGAUAGAAAAAAGGAUUAGAUACCCUUGUAUCCCUCACUGUCAACGAUGAAUGGUAGUUACUAGGGAGAAAUGACCUAGAGGCGAUGUUAACACGUAAACCAUUCCGCCUUGUGAGUACAACUGCAAAGUUGAAAACAAAAAAAUUAGUCGGUUUCGGAGCAAACGAAGUGAAGCAUGUUAUUUAAUUCAAUAAAUCCGCCAAG